UUAAAUUGAAGAGUUUGAUCAUGGCUCAGAUUGAACGCUGGCGGCAGGCCUAACACAUGCAAGUCGAACGGUAGCACAGAGAGCUUGCUCUCGGGUGACGAGUGGCGGACGGGUGAGUAAUGUCUGGGAAACUGCCUGAUGGAGGGGGAUAACUACUGGAAACGGUAGCUAAUACCGCAUAACGUCGCAAGAC
RNAcentral lists this ribosomal RNA (193 nucleotides) under Kosakonia oryzae. RNAcentral describes it as "partial 16S rRNA. Bacterial SSU". It matches the Rfam family "Bacterial small subunit ribosomal RNA", at positions 1 to 187 of the family's 1533-position model. The record is from RNAcentral. Lineage: Bacteria; Pseudomonadati; Pseudomonadota; Gammaproteobacteria; Enterobacterales; Enterobacteriaceae.